Eurytemora carolleeae is the source of this 216-nucleotide long non-coding RNA. RefSeq lists it as uncharacterized. NCBI's taxonomy places the organism in Eukaryota, Metazoa, Arthropoda, Copepoda, Calanoida, Temoridae. The record is from RefSeq and is a predicted model, not a curated record. The transcript is spliced from 3 exons.
ACCCGUCUACACUAUAGCUGCUCCUGAUCCCAGAUCCAGGUUCAACUCCGCUCUCCAACCUGCUCUCACGACUGAUAAAUAGACAGGAGGUGAAACUCAAGAUUCCAUCGGGCCCCCAAGAUACAAGAAGGACUGAUGAAAGAGCCGGAGAACUUGGAAGGAGAGAGUGCUGGAGAAUGUGAUCUGGGUUUAAGUAAUGAACUCUCAACCUAAACA